GGAGAGUCUGACUAACAUCAGGAAUAACUUUAUGAGGUUUGUGCAUCCUGACGUUUAUAUGUUGAGAAUGUGUAUUGGACAGAAGAACUAUGGAAAUAAACAAGCUGAUGGCACAGUGACUGCAGAAAACUCCAGAUGUUUGACUUCUCGCUCAAAGUAAUGAAGCACACUAGAACGCUGAUAUUCCAAGGCAUUUUUAGGUUAUGACAGAGGCAUUUUGAAUAUCCAUCAACAAAAAC
Molecule: long non-coding RNA, 239 nt
Organism: Lacerta agilis (Sand lizard)
Lineage: Eukaryota; Metazoa; Chordata; Lepidosauria; Squamata; Lacertidae
Exons: 3
Source: RefSeq, a predicted model, not a curated record